UGGGGAAUCUUGGACAAUGGGCGCAAGCCUGAUCCAGCCAUGCCGCGUGAGUGAAGAAGGCCUUCGGGUUGUAAAGCUCUUUUACCAGGGACGAUAAUGACGGUACCUGGAGAAUAAGCCCCGGCAAACUUCGUGCCAGCAGCCGCGGUAAUACGAAGGGGGCUAGCGUUGUUCGGAAUUACUGGGCGUAAAGCGCACGUAGGCGGAUUGUUAAGUCAGAGGUGAAAUCCCGGAGCUCAACUUCGGAACUGCCUUUGAUACUGGCAAUCUCGAGUCCGGAAGAGGUUAGUGGAAUUCCCAGUGUAGAGGUGAAAUUCGUAGAUAUUGGGAAGAACACCAGUGGCGAAGGCGGCUAACUGGUCCGGUACUGACGCUGAGGUGCGAAAGCGUGGGGAGCAAACAGGAUUAGAUACCCCGGUAGUCCCUGAGCGGGCUGGCAAGGCGCAU
RNAcentral lists this ribosomal RNA (447 nucleotides) under uncultured bacterium. RNAcentral describes it as "bacterial SSU rRNA". It matches the Rfam family "Bacterial small subunit ribosomal RNA", at positions 355 to 825 of the family's 1533-position model. The record is from RNAcentral.